GACGAACGCGGCGGCGUGCCUAAUACAUGCAAGUAGAACGCUGAAGGAGGAGCUUGCUUCUCUGGAUGAGUUGCGAACGGGUGAGUAACGCGUAGGUAACCUGCCUGGUAGCGGGGGAUAACUAUUGGAAACGAUAGCUAAUACCGCAUAAGAGUAGAUGUUGCAUGACAUUUGCUUAAAAGGUGCAAUUGCAUCACUACCAGAUGGACCUGCGUUGUAUUAGCUAGUUGGUGAGGUAACGGCUCACCAAGGCAACGAUACAUAGCCGACCUGAGAGGGUGAUCGGCCACACUGGGACUGAGACACGGCCCAGACUCCUACGGGAGGCAGCAGUAGGGAAUCUUCGGCAAUGGACGGAAGUCUGACCGAGCAACGCCGCGUGAGUGAAGAAGGUUUUCGGAUCGUAAAGCUCUGUUGUAAGAGAAGAAACGAGUGUGAGAGUGGAAAG
This 448-nucleotide ribosomal RNA is filed under the name Streptococcus mitis. Its description in RNAcentral is "bacterial SSU rRNA". It matches the Rfam family "Bacterial small subunit ribosomal RNA", at positions 28 to 471 of the family's 1533-position model. The record is from RNAcentral. Lineage: Bacteria; Bacillati; Bacillota; Bacilli; Lactobacillales; Streptococcaceae.